CCUACGGGCGGCAGCAGUGGGGAAUAUUGGACAAUGGGGGGAACCCUGAUCCAGCGACGCCGCGUGAGUGAAGAAGUAUUUCGGUAUGUAAACCUCUUUUGUCAGGGAGCAAGGUGCAGGUCGGGACCUGCUGUGAGAGUACCUGAAGAAAAAGCAUCGGCUAACUCCGUGCCAGCAGCCGCGGUAAUACGGAGGAUGCGAGCGUUAUCCGGAUUUAUUGGGUUUAAAGGGUGCGCAGGCGGAGGCACAAGUCAGCGGUAAAAUCGCGGGGCUCAACCCCGCUCCGCCGUUGAAACUGUGUCCCUUGAGUGCGCGAAGGGUAGGCGGAAUGCGUGGUGUAGCGGUGAAAUGCAUAGAUAUCACGCAGAACUCCGAUCGCGAAGGCAGCCUACCGGCGCGCAACUGACGCUCAUGCACGAAAGCGUGGGUAUCGAACAGGAUUAGAUACCCCGGUAGUC
RNAcentral lists this ribosomal RNA (458 nucleotides) under uncultured bacterium. Its description in RNAcentral is "partial 16S ribosomal RNA". It matches the Rfam family "Bacterial small subunit ribosomal RNA", at positions 338 to 795 of the family's 1533-position model. The record is from RNAcentral.